This is a long non-coding RNA of Lagopus leucura (white-tailed ptarmigan), 873 nucleotides long. RefSeq lists it as uncharacterized. The transcript has 3 exons. Lineage: Eukaryota; Metazoa; Chordata; Aves; Galliformes; Phasianidae. The record is from RefSeq and is a predicted model, not a curated record.
AGCGGCGCUCUGCGCAGCUCCAUGGUGCUCUGCGGGGACUCGGGUGGGUCCGGAGCUCCAUCGACCGCUAUGGCCCCGGGUGCAGUUCCUCACUUUGGCCACACGGAGACAGCAGAGACCGAGGAAAGAGCUUCGGCCAUAGGGCCCAAUUUAAUGCCAAACAAACGAGAGCACGAUAGCACGAAGCACGGCGACACAUCGAUAGAGAGAUGCUGACAGAAGCAGCAAUGCACGGCACAGCUUGCACAAGGGAGGAAAUCAUGGCUCGUUCUCAGUGCUCUGGGCCGUGCUCUGCUUAGACACGCUGCUGCAGGGGGAUUUCCCGGACGAUUUCUGCGGUGUUUCUACUGAGAACUGUGUUAGGUUCUACCCAGGCAUUGCUUGCGAUCUGACGGGAGGAGAAAUCCUCCGUAACACGAAGGCAAACGAUGGAGCGGAUCACGGAUCACGGAAAAACGAAGUUGCUGGAGAUCCGGGCUGGCGUUUAUCAGGAGCACCGCCUGCUGGCUUUUGUGUGCUCAGCAUGAGUCACCGACUGCCGGUAAUCCCUUGGGUGCAGAGCAGGUUAUCGUGCUCCUAAAGGCAAAGGUUCGGCUGGCUGCAAGCAGUGCAGGGACACAAUGCGUUGGGGAGUGCUAUUUCUGCACCGAGAAGCAUAGACCCCAAGCAAAACAUUUGCUUCGUCUCCCUUCCUGCAGAAGAAACCCGACGCGAGAGUGGCUGCGUGCGUGCAGCUCAGGUGCUGAGGCUCCAUGGGGGCAGAGCACGGAUCGCUUCCCUGCUGAUGCUGCUGAUGCUGAUGAUGAUACGGGGAAAGGGGGGGGGUUGGUGCGAGGACUACAAACCCCGGCAGCUCCCACGCUCCGCCCUUCC